Molecule: ribosomal RNA, 1372 nt
Filed under: uncultured bacterium
Lineage: Bacteria
Description: bacterial SSU rRNA
Rfam family: Bacterial small subunit ribosomal RNA
Source: RNAcentral
GAUGAACGCUGGCGGCGUGCCUAAUACAUGCAAGUCGAGCGAACGGACGAGAAGCUUGCUUCUCUGAUGUUAGCGGCGGACGGGUGAGUAACACGUGGAUAACCUACCUAUAAGACUGGGAUAACUUCGGGAAACCGGAGCUAAUACCGGAUAAUAUUUUGAACCGCAUGGUUCAAAAGUGAAAGACGGUCUUGCUGUCACUUAUAGAUGGAUCCGCGCUGCAUUAGCUAGUUGGUAAGGUAACGGCUUACCAAGGCAACGAUGCAUAGCCGACCUGAGAGGGUGAUCGGCCACACUGGAACUGAGACACGGUCCAGACUCCUACGGGAGGCAGCAGUAGGGAAUCUUCCGCAGUGGGCGAAAGCCUGACGGAGCAACGCCGCGUGAGUGAUGAAGGUCUUCGGAUCGUAAAACUCUGUUAUUAGGGAAGAACAUAUGUGUAAGUAACUGUGCACAUCUUGACGGUACCUAAUCAGAAAGCCACGGCUAACUACGUGCCAGCAGCCGCGGUAAUACGUAGGUGGCAAGCGUUAUCCGGAAUUAUUGGGCGUAAAGCGCGCGUAGGCGGUUUUUUAAGUCUGAUGUGAAAGCCCACGGCUCAACCGUGGAGGGUCAUUGGAAACUGGAAAACUUGAGUGCAGAAGAGGAAAGUGGAAUUCCAUGUGUAGCGGUGAAAUGUGCAGAGAUAUGGAGGAACACCAGUGGCGAAGGCGACUUUCUGGUCUGUAACUGACGCUGAUGUGCGAAAGCGUGGGGAUCAAACAGGAUUAGAUACCCUGGUAGUCCACGCCGUAAACGAUGAGUGCUAAGUGUUAGGGGGUUUCCGCCCCUUAGUGCUGCAGCUAACGCAUUAAGCACUCCGCCUGGGGAGUACGACCGCAAGGUUGAAACUCAAAGGAAUUGACGGGGACCCGCACAAGCGGUGGAGCAUGUGGUUUAAUUCGAAGCAACGCGAAGAACCUUACCAAAUCUUGACAUCCUUUGACAACUCUAGAGAUAGAGCCUUCCCCUUCGGGGGACAAAGUGACAGGUGGUGCAUGGUUGUCGUCAGCUCGUGUCGUGAGGUGUUGGGUUAAGUCCCGCAACGAGCGCAACCCUUAAGCUUAGUUGCCAUCAUUAAGUUGGGCACUCUAAGUUGACUGCCGGUGACAAACCGGAGGAAGGUGGGGAUGACGUCAAAUCAUCAUGCCCCUUAUGAUUUGGGCUACACACGUGCUACAAUGGACAAUACAAAGGGCAGCGAAACCGCGAGGUCAAGCAAAUCCCAUAAAGUUGUUCUCAGUUCGGAUUGUAGUCUGCAACUCGACUACAUGAAGCUGGAAUCGCUAGUAAUCGUAGAUCAGCAUGCUACGGUGAAUACGUUCCCGGGUCU